AUUCAUCUGACGAGUCCUAAAUGGAGCGAAACGCGCGUCGUGGAU
Molecule: non-coding RNA, 45 nt
Filed under: Schistosoma mansoni
Lineage: Eukaryota; Metazoa; Platyhelminthes; Trematoda; Strigeidida; Schistosomatidae
Source: RNAcentral